This 449-nucleotide ribosomal RNA is filed under the name uncultured bacterium. RNAcentral describes it as "partial 16S ribosomal RNA". It matches the Rfam family "Bacterial small subunit ribosomal RNA", at positions 354 to 796 of the family's 1533-position model. The record is from RNAcentral.
GUCGAGAAUAAUUCACAAUGGACGAAAGUCUGAUGGUGCAACGCCGCGUGGAGGAUGACGGUCUUCGGAUUGUAAACUCCUGUCAUCCGGGAGUAAGACCUGGCUGUGAAUAGCAGACAGGGUUGAUAGUACCGGAAGAGGAAGGGACGGCUAACUUCGUGCCAGCAGCCGCGGUAAUACGAAGGUCCCGAGCGUUGUUCGGAAUCACUGGGCGUAAAGGGAGCGUAGGCGGCGUGGUAAGUCAGAUGUGAAAUCCCGGGGCUCAACCCCGGAACUGCAUCCGAUACUGCCGUGCUAGAGGAUUGGAGAGGUAGCUGGAAUUCUUGGUGUAGCAGUGAAAUGCGUGGAGAUCAAGAGGAACACUCGUGGCGAAAGCGAGCUACUGGACAAUAUCUGACGCUGAGGCUCGAAGGCCAGGGUAGCGAAAGGGAUUAGAACCCUGGUAGUCC